Molecule: non-coding RNA, 73 nt
Organism: Trichonephila inaurata madagascariensis
Lineage: Eukaryota; Metazoa; Arthropoda; Arachnida; Araneae; Nephilidae
Source: the annotation of a GenBank genome assembly
GUCCCUGUAUCGCAAUAUGUACCGCAUUGGACUUCUAAUCCAAAGGCCGCGGAUUCAAAUUCCACCUGGAAUG